AUACAGAGGGUGCGAACGUUAAUCGGAAUUACUGGGCGUAAAGCGCGCGUAGGCGGCUUAUUAAGUCAGAUGUGAAAUCCCCGGGCUCAACCUGGGAACUGCAUCUGAUACUGGUAAGCUAGAGUUUGGGAGAGGGAAGUAGAAUUUCAGGUGUAGCGGUGAAAUGCAUAGAGAUCUGAAGGAAUACCAGUGGCGAAGGCGACUUCCUGGCCUAAAACUGACGCUGAGGUGCGAAAGCGUGGGUAGCAAACGGGAUUAGAAACCCCAGUAGUCC
RNAcentral lists this ribosomal RNA (274 nucleotides) under uncultured bacterium. RNAcentral's name for it is "partial 16S ribosomal RNA". It matches the Rfam family "Bacterial small subunit ribosomal RNA", at positions 523 to 796 of the family's 1533-position model. The record is from RNAcentral.